UGUUAAAACUUCCAUUCAUUUCUACUGUUAAAAACUAAUAUCGCUGACAGACCAAAUAGUUACACAUGGUAUGUUACUUGUAUCUCAUGCUGACGUACAUGGACCAUUUUUUAAUGGUAGAUAUUGAUGGAAUUUUUAACA
Non-coding RNA from Gossypium raimondii (Peruvian cotton), 141 nucleotides. NCBI's taxonomy places the organism in Eukaryota, Viridiplantae, Streptophyta, Magnoliopsida, Malvales, Malvaceae. The record is from Rfam.